GACGAACGCUGGCGGCGUGCCUAAUACAUGCAAGUAGAACGCUGAAGGAAGGAGCUUGCUCUUUCUGGAUGAGUUGCGAACGGGUGAGUAACGCGUAGGUAACCUGCCUGGUAGCGGGGGAUAACUAUUGGAAACGAUAGCUAAUACCGCAUAAAAUUGAUUAUUGCAUGAUAGUCAAUUAAAAGGUGCAACUGCACCACUACCAGAUGGACCUGCGUUGUAUUAGCUAGUUGGUGGGGUAACGGCUCACCAAGGCGACGAUACAGAGCCGACCUGAGAGGGUGGUCGGCCACACUGGGACUGAGACACGGCCCAGACUCCUACAGGAGGGAGCAGUAGGGAAACUUCGGCAAGGGGCGGGAGUCUGACCGAGCAACGCCGCGGGAGGGAAGAAGGAUGUCGGAUCGUAAAGCUCGGUUGUAAGGGAAGAACGAGUGUGAGAGUGGAAAGUUCACACUGUGACGGUAUCUUACCAGAAAGGGACGGCUAACUACGUG
Molecule: ribosomal RNA, 497 nt
Filed under: uncultured bacterium
Lineage: Bacteria
Description: partial 16S ribosomal RNA
Rfam family: Bacterial small subunit ribosomal RNA
Source: RNAcentral